GUGAACGCUGGCGGUAGGCCUAACACCUGCAAGUCGAACGGCAGCACAGUAAGAGCUUGCUCUUACGGGUGGCGAGUGGCGGACGGGUGAGGAAUACAUCGGAAUCUACUUUUUCGUGGGGGAUAACGUAGGGAAACUUACGCUAAUACCGCAUACGACCUACGGGUGAAAGCAGGGGAUCUUCGGACCUUGCGCGAUUGAAUGAGCCGAUGUCGGAUUAGCUAGUUGGCGGGGUAAAGGCCCACCAAGGCGACGAUCCGUAGCUGGUCUGAGAGGAUGAUCAGCCACACUGGAACUGAGACACGGUCCAGACUCCUACGGGAGGCAGCAGUGGGGAAUAUUGGACAAAGGGCGCAAGCCUGACCCAGCCAUACCGCGUGGGUGAAGAAGGCCUUCGGGUUGUAAAGCCCUUUUGUUGGGAAAGAAAAGCAGCAGGUUAAUACCCCGCUGUUCUGACGGUACCCAAAGAAUAAGCACCGGCUAACUUCGUG
This 491-nucleotide ribosomal RNA is filed under the name uncultured bacterium. Its description in RNAcentral is "partial 16S ribosomal RNA". It matches the Rfam family "Bacterial small subunit ribosomal RNA", at positions 29 to 507 of the family's 1533-position model. The record is from RNAcentral.